Pseudoliparis swirei is the source of this 1070-nucleotide long non-coding RNA. RefSeq lists it as uncharacterized. The record is from RefSeq and is a predicted model, not a curated record. The transcript has 2 exons. Lineage: Eukaryota; Metazoa; Chordata; Actinopteri; Perciformes; Liparidae.
CAGCGCGCUGCAGUAUCUGGCAUCUGGAAGGAGACGAGACGCUCACUUCAGGGCCGCUUCACGCCAAGGACGUCUCGUCUUUGUGGACCCGGAUGAUGUCCGUCAUGGAGAAGUCCCGCGACUGGACCGUUUUCAGCCAAUCGGCAGCGUUGGUCAUCAGCAGCACCCAGGCCACCGUUGGCCACGCCUCCAUCAUCGGCCCAACGCUCCCUCGCGCACUCUGCUUCGCCUCUUUGAACCUCUGUGGGAGAGAAGGAACCUGAUGGGUGGUGUCAGAUGAAAGGCCCGAGAGCAGCACCGCCGUACUUUUUAAAAGCAUAUAUAUAUUUAUUUUAAAGAUUUAUUUUAUCUCGUGGCAACGUGAGAAGCUAACUAUCUAUUUGUACGAGGAAUUAGUCUGUGAAGGUGAUCAGCUGUGUGUGCUGUGCACGCUGUGAGCUCGCUUCAUUAUUUAAAAUGUCAAGAGGACCCCCGCCAGCCUCAGACAGAGGACAGGAAGACGUCCAUUAUAGCUCUAACACUCCUACUAGACGUGAGUUAUGUUUUAAUUACCUCUGGGGAUUCAGCCAUUAGUCCCUGCUUGCCAGAUGCUUAUUUUCAAUCAAUGCAUGAUGGGUCAUUUAUUGAGUCUGCGUGUGUGUUGCCUCGUACCCUGACGCCUUUGAACUCAUCACAGCAGGAAAAGGCCCCUCCAGACCUCCUUUCCCUCUGAUCCAGUUCCUCGGCUCUCCAGAUUUAAGAACAUUUCUAGGAGCUGAUGCGUCGCAACCAGAAAUAUAAACACCUCCCUAACAUGCACAGGAUUUACUGGCACAUAGUGGUGAGGUUGCAGAUUGCAGUUGAACAACCCGCCACUCCUCUCUAGUUUGUUGAUAAUUAACCAAAUAAAACGGUUAUAAAUAUGAUAAUCCAUUUCUGGAUAAUCCUGCGCACUGUUCCUUUAAGAGGGGGCAUUCCCGAGAUGAUAUCUGAGUGGCCUUGGAUUAUAAAGAUUGAAUGCAGCAGGUGUUUCGAUUCAAGAAAAAUGCCUCGCUUAAUUAAAAUGUAAUAAAUAUCGUUUUAUCUAUGGA